RNAcentral lists this small RNA (482 nucleotides) under Pongo abelii (Sumatran orangutan). RNAcentral's name for it is "retained intron". Lineage: Eukaryota; Metazoa; Chordata; Mammalia; Primates; Hominidae. The record is from RNAcentral.
ACAGCGGCUGCACGUGACCCACACGGUGCGCAAGCUGCACGUUGGGGAUUUUGUGUGGGUGGCACAGGAGACCAAUCCUAGAGACCCAGGUGAAGGGCCAUGGACAGGCUGGCGCCAGGGGCAGGGCCUGGUGGGUAGGGGAUCGCAAGCUAACGGCUGGCUUGUCGGCAGCAAGCCCUGGAGAGUUGGUACUGGAUCACAUUGUGGAGCGCAAGCGGCUGGAUGACCUUUGCAGCAGCAUCAUUGACGGCCGCUUCCGGGAGCAGAAGUUCCGGCUGAAGCGCUGUGGUCUGGAGCGCCGGGUAUACCUGGUGGAAGAGCAUGGCUCGGUCCAGAACCUCAGCCUUCCUGAGAGCACACUGCUGCAGGCUGUCACCAACACUCAGGUCAUUGAUGGCUUUUUUGUGAAGCGCACAGCAGACAUUAAGGAGUCAGCCGCCUACCUGGCCCUCUUGACUCGGGGCCUGCAGAGACUCUACCAG